Molecule: ribosomal RNA, 253 nt
Filed under: uncultured bacterium
Lineage: Bacteria
Description: partial 16S ribosomal RNA
Rfam family: Bacterial small subunit ribosomal RNA
Source: RNAcentral
UACGUAGGCAGCAAGCGUUGUUCGGAGUUACUGGGCGUAAAGGGUGUGUAGGCGGUUAUUUAAGUUUGGUGUGAAAUCUCCCGGCUCAACCGGGAGGGUGCGCCGAAUACUGAGUGACUAGAGUGUGGGAGAGGAAAGUGGAAUUCCUGGUGUAGCGGUGAAAUGCGUAGAUAUCAGGAGGAACACCGGUGGUGUAGACGGCUUUCUGGACCAUAACUGACGCUGAGACACGAAAGCGUGGGGAUCAAACAGG